UUUUUGUAGUUUUUGUAGAGACAGGUUUCCGCCAUGUUGCCCAGGCUGGUCUCAAACUCCUGAGCUCAAGCGACCCACCCACCUUGGCCUCCCGAAGUGCUGGGAUCACAGGCGUGAGCCACUGUGCCUAGCUACUUGUUGUUGUUUUUACUCUCUGUCUCCCUUCACUAGAAUGAACCUCCAAGAAGGCAAGGAUUUUGGUCUGUUUUGUUCACUGGUGUGUCCCCAACACCUAAUCUAGUGUCUUGCACAUAGUUGGCACUCAAAAAUAUUUGCUGGAUGAGUGGAGAGUGAAGGGAUGUAGCCUCUGCCUUACUCCUGCCACCUCACUCGGGGUCUUCUUUUCCUGCUCAAACAGGCACAGUUCUGCAUAAGCAGAUGUCCACCAGGAAAUGGGGCACCUGUCUUUUCUCCUAGUAUCCUUGUAUCUAUGGAAGAUUCUCUUAGAAGCCCCCUCACUUGGCUUAGGGUGGGCAGUAAUUUCUGCCCCUCUCUUGGGAAAGGAAGAAGAAAAGCCGUAGUGCUGACACAGGGCUGCUGAGGCCCCGCUCUGAAGAUCCUCUGGAAUUCCUCCAGUGUUCACUUAGAGAGAUCGGGGUCACGUCUUUUGUGACUGUUACAUUGCAGGGGUUAGGGAUGUGUCUGGUGGCUGUCCUUAGAAUGUGGAGGUACUUAGCACCUCUCAUCCUUGCUUCAAGAGUUCAACCACAAUUUAGAGACCAUAGGAAAAGAACUGUUCUGCAUCCUGUUAUGUGUUUAAAGAUAAGUGAAGUCAAAGUGUUUGUAAGACCUUCAGAUUCAGAGGGGUGAGAUGUUUCUUCAUUACUUUGUGAUGCUAUUAACAUUUAGAUUCUUUUAAAUUUUUACUAUCCCCAUUUUCAGCUAGUUUAUUGGGAUUUCCCAGAUUCAAACAGAUGGACUCAUAAAUAAACCUCCCAAAAAACAAAAGCUAAUAACUUGCAUAGUGCCUGCCAUUCUCCAAGCACUGUUGUAAGCCUUUUACCAUAUUACCCUAUUUAAUCCUCUCAACCAUCCUUGGAGGAGCUACUGUUACCAUCCCAACUUCACAGAUGAGGAAACUGAGGUACAGAGAGAUUAUGUGACUUGCCUAAGGUCAUGUAGCCAGUAAGAGGCAUAGCUGGGGUUUGAACCCAAGCAGUGCAGCUUCUAUGCUCUUACCAGUAAGCUAUACAGCAGCAUUGAGAAGUGGAUUGGUCCCAAAGAAUAGUAAGUACACCUCUGUCCAGAUACACCCAUUGUUUCUAACAGAUAUCAGCAAGCAAUAAUGCUCCCCUGUCUGGUUCCUCUGUGUCUCCACUGCUAACACUCUCUCUCUGCUCUCUCAUCCCGUCAGGUGUUGUUGAAGUGUACAGGGUAACCAAGCGUGUGGAGCUGGGGAUAAAAGCCACUGCAGUGUGCAGUGAGAAACUCCAGCAGUUGCUGAAGGACAUCGAUAAAGUAUGGAAUAACCUAAUCGGCUUCAUGUCACUCGCCACACUCACACCAGAUGAAAACUCGCUGGAUUUUUCCUCCUGUAUGUUACGGCCUGGGAUUAAAAAUGCUCAGGAGCUUGCCUGUGGAGUGUGCCUCUUGAAUGUGGACUCGAGGAGCCGGGCAUUCAACUCAGAAACAGACAGUUUCAAGCUGGCCUAUGGAGGGCACCAGUAUCACGCCAG
This 1676-nucleotide small RNA is filed under the name Pan troglodytes (chimpanzee). RNAcentral's name for it is "retained intron". Lineage: Eukaryota; Metazoa; Chordata; Mammalia; Primates; Hominidae. The record is from RNAcentral.